GACGAACGCUGGCGGCGUGCUUAACACAUGCCAGUCGAACGGAAAGGCCCUGCUGUUGUGGGGUGCUCGAGUGGCGAACGGGUGAGUAACACGUGAGUAACCUGCCCUUGACUUUGGGAUAACUUCAGGAAACUGGGGCUAAUACCGGAUAGGAGCUCCUGCUGCAUGGUGGGGGUUGGAAAGUUUCGGCGGUUGGGGAUGGACUCGCGGCUUAUCAGCUUGUUGGUGGGGUAGUGGCUUACCAAGGCUUUGACGGGUAGCCGGCCUGAGAGGGUGACCGGCCACAUUGGGACUGAGAUACGGCCCAGACUCCUACGGGAGGCAGCAGUGGGGAAUAGUGCACAAUAGGCGGAAGCCUGAUGCAGCAACGCCGCGUGCGGGAUGACGGCAUUCGGGUUGUAAACCGCUUUCGCCUGUGACGAAGCGUGAGUGACGGUAAUGGGUAAAGAAGCACCGGCUAACUACGUG
RNAcentral lists this ribosomal RNA (468 nucleotides) under uncultured bacterium. RNAcentral describes it as "partial 16S ribosomal RNA". It matches the Rfam family "Bacterial small subunit ribosomal RNA", at positions 28 to 507 of the family's 1533-position model. The record is from RNAcentral.